GUGGAUGAGCACGGACAGCCUAGUAAAGGAGACCUGGGAAGGGAUUGUUUUACGAGCGCUGCUGGGAGGUAAUACGUUGUGAGUGGAUGAGCACGGACAGCCUAGUAAAGGAGACCUGGGAAGGGAUUGUUUUACGAGCGCUGCUGGGAGGUAAUACGUUGUGAGUGGAUGAGCGCGGACAGCCUAGUAAAGGAGACCUGGGAAGGGAUUGUUUUACGAACGCUGCUGGGAGGUAAUACGUUGUGAGUGGAUGAGCACGGACAGCCUAGUAAAGGAGAUCUGGGAAGGGAUUGUUUUACGAACGCUGCUGGGAGGUAAUAUGUUGUGAGUGGAUGAGCACGGACAGCCUAGUAAAGGAGAUCUGGGAAGGGAUUGUUUUACGAGCGCUGCUGGGAGGUAAUACGUUGUGAGUGGAUGAGCACGGACAGCCUAGUAAAGGAGAUCUGGGAAGGGAUUGUUUUACGAACGCUGCUGGGAGGUAAUAUGUUGUGAGUGGAUGAGCACGGACAGCCUAGUAAAGGAGACCUGGGAAGGGAUUGUUUUACGAACGCUGCUGGGAGGUAAUAUGUUGUGAGUGGAUGAGCACG
Molecule: long non-coding RNA, 587 nt
Organism: Oncorhynchus keta (chum salmon)
Lineage: Eukaryota; Metazoa; Chordata; Actinopteri; Salmoniformes; Salmonidae
Exons: 3
Source: RefSeq, a predicted model, not a curated record